This 114-nucleotide ribosomal RNA is filed under the name Danio rerio (zebrafish). Lineage: Eukaryota; Metazoa; Chordata; Actinopteri; Cypriniformes; Danionidae. The record is from RNAcentral.
GCCGGCAGCUAGCUCUCUGCAAUCUCACAUAGUCACCCACUCAAGCUAAGCAGUGCUGCGCCCGGUCAGUACCUGGAUGGGAGACAAAAUGGGAAAGCUAGGUUGCUGCCGAAA